GUAAAAGUCGUAACAAGGUCUCCGUUGGUGAACCAGCGGAGGGAUCAUUACUGAGUUUACGCUCUACAACCCUUUGUGAACAUACCUAUAACUGUUGCUUCGGCGGGUAGGGUCUCCGUGACCCUCCCGGCCUCCCGCCCCCGGGCGGGUCGGCGCCCGCCGGAGGAUAACCAAACUCUGAUUUAACGACGUUUCUUCUGAGUGGUACAAGCAAAUAAUCAAAACUUUUAACAACGGAUCUCUUGGUUCUGGCAUCGAUGAAGAACGCAGCGAAAUGCGAUAAGUAAUGUGAAUUGCAGAAUUCAGUGAAUCAUCGAAUCUUUGAACGCACAUUGCGCCCGCCAGCAUUCUGGCGGGCAUGCCUGUUCGAGCGUCAUUUCAACCCUCAAGCUCUGCUUGGUGUUGGGGCCCUACAGCUGAUGUAGGCCCUCAAAGGUAGUGGCGGACCCUCCCGGAGCCUCCUUUGCGUAGUAACUUUACGUCUCGCACUGGGAUCCGGAGGGACUCUUGCCGUAAAACCCCCAAUUUUCCAAAGGUUGACCUCGGAUCAGGUAGGAAUACCCGCUGAACUUAAGCAU
This 578-nucleotide ribosomal RNA is filed under the name Colletotrichum cf. siamense BDS-2013. RNAcentral's name for it is "eukaryotic LSU rRNA". The stretch from base 223 to 376 matches the Rfam family "5.8S ribosomal RNA". The record is from RNAcentral. Lineage: Eukaryota; Fungi; Ascomycota; Sordariomycetes; Glomerellales; Glomerellaceae.